GAUGAACGCUAGCUACAGGCUUAACACAUGCAAGUCGAGGGGCAGCACGGUGUAGCAAUACACGGGUGGCGACCGGCGCACGGGUGCGUAACGCGUAUCCAACUUUCCCGUUACUCUCGGAUAGCCUUCCGAAAGGGAGAUUAAUACGAGAUGGUGUUCAGUUUCCGCAUGUUAACUGAACUAAAGAUUCAUCGGUAACGGAUAGGGAUGCGUGACAUUAGAUAGUUGGCGGGGUAACGGCCCACCAAGUCAACGAUGUCUAGGGGUUCUGAGAGGAAGGUCCCCCACACUGGAACUGAGACACGGUCCAG
Molecule: ribosomal RNA, 311 nt
Filed under: uncultured bacterium
Lineage: Bacteria
Description: bacterial SSU rRNA
Rfam family: Bacterial small subunit ribosomal RNA
Source: RNAcentral